CCAAACUUGGUCAUUUAGAGGAAGUAAAAGUCGUAACAAGGUCUCCGUUGGUGAACCAGCGGAGGGAUCAUUACCGAGUUGAAAAGCUCGCCAAAACCACUGUGAACAUACCUAUAAUCGUUGCCUCGGCAGGCGGCUCCAGGGCGGGGCCAAGGCCUGAAACAUGGCGCCUGCCGGGGGUUAAAACCUCUAUUUUUUUAAGUUAGCUUCUCUGAGUUUUUUAAACGAAACAGCUAAAACUUUCAACAACGGAUCUCUUGGCUCUGGCAUCGAUGAAGAACGCAGC
This 286-nucleotide unclassified non-coding RNA is filed under the name uncultured fungus. RNAcentral's name for it is "partial contains small subunit ribosomal RNA, internal transcribed spacer 1, and 5.8S ribosomal RNA". The stretch from base 1 to 73 matches the Rfam family "Eukaryotic small subunit ribosomal RNA", at positions 1759 to 1831 of the family's 1831-position model. Lineage: Eukaryota; Fungi. The record is from RNAcentral.